Molecule: unclassified non-coding RNA, 332 nt
Filed under: soil metagenome
Description: partial contains 5.8S ribosomal RNA, internal transcribed spacer 2, and large subunit ribosomal RNA
Rfam family: 5.8S ribosomal RNA (bases 1-120)
Source: RNAcentral
GAUGAAGAACGCAGCGAAAUGCGAUAAGUAAUGUGAAUUGCAGAAUUCAGUGAAUCAUCGAAUCUUUGAACGCACAUUGCGCCCCCUGUUAUUCCGGGGGGCAUGCCUGUUCGAGCGUCAUUUCACCACUCAAGCCUCGCUUGGUAUUGGGCGACGCGGUCCGCCGCGCGCCUCAAAUCGACCGGCUGGGUCUUCCGUCCCCUCAGCGUUGUGGAAACUAUUCGCUAAAGGGUGCCGCGGGAGGUCACGCCGCAAAACAACCCCAUUUCUAAGGUUGACCUCGGAUCAGGUAGGGAUACCCGCUGAACUUAAGCAUAUCAAUAAGCGGAGGA